RNAcentral lists this ribosomal RNA (497 nucleotides) under uncultured bacterium. RNAcentral describes it as "partial 16S ribosomal RNA". It matches the Rfam family "Bacterial small subunit ribosomal RNA", at positions 28 to 506 of the family's 1533-position model. The record is from RNAcentral.
GACGAACGCUGGCGGCGUGCCUAAUACAUGCAAGUCGAACGAGAGCGACCGGUGCUUGCACUGGUCAAUCUAGUGGCGAACGGGUGAGUAACACGUGGGUAACCUGCCCAUCAGAGGGGGAUAACAUCCGGAAACGGAUGCUAAAACCGCAUAGGUCUUCGAACCGCAUGGUUUGAAGAGGAAAAGGGGCGCAAGCUUCUGCUGAUGGAUGGACCCGCGGUGCAUUAGCUAGUUGGUGAGGUAACGGCUCACCAAGGCCGUGAUGCAUAGCCGACCUGAGAGGGUGAUCGGCCACAUUGGGACUGAGACACGGCCCAAACGCCUACGGGAGGCAGCAGUAGGGAAUCUUCCGCAAUGGACGCAAGUCUGACGGAGCAACGCCGCGUGAGUGAAGAAGGUUUUCGGAUCGUAAAACUCUGUUGUUAGAGAAGAACAAGUGCUAGAGUAACUGUUAGCGCCUUGACGGUAUCUAACCAGAAAGCCACGGCUAACUACGU